RNAcentral lists this ribosomal RNA (479 nucleotides) under uncultured Anaerolineaceae bacterium. RNAcentral describes it as "bacterial SSU rRNA". It matches the Rfam family "Bacterial small subunit ribosomal RNA", at positions 903 to 1382 of the family's 1533-position model. The record is from RNAcentral. Lineage: Bacteria; Bacillati; Chloroflexota; Anaerolineae; Anaerolineales; Anaerolineaceae.
AAAGGAAGUUGACGGGGCCGCACAAGCGGUGGAGCAUGUGGUUUAAUUCGAUGCAACGCGAAGAACCUUACCUGGGCUUGACAUCCCGGGAAUCCCCUGGAAACAGGGGAGUGCCCUUCGGGGAACCCGGUGACAGGUGCUGCAUGGCUGUCGUCAGCUCGUGUCGUGAGAUGUUGGGUUAAGUCCCGCAACGAGCGCAACCCUUGUCUUUAAUUGCCAUCAUUUAGUUGAGCACUUUAAAGAGACUGCCGGUGUUAAGCCGGAGGAAGGUGGGGAUGACGUCAAGUCCUCAUGGCCCUUAUGGGUAGGGCUCCACACGUCAUACAAUGGUCGGUACAGAGGGUUGCCAACCCGCGAGGGGGAGCUAAUCCCACAAAGCCGAUCGUAGUCCGGAUCGCAGUCUGCAACUCGACUGCGUGAAGUCGGAAUCGCUAGUAAUCGUGGAUCAGCAUGUCACGGUGAAUACGUUCCCGGGUCUU